GUAAAGAAGGUGGAACUUGAGGCACUCUAAAGUUCUUUGAAAUACCCUAAUAUUAUCUCAAAGUGUGCCCCUGCAUUGCAAAGCAGGCCACAUGGAAGAGGGCCUGGAUGCUGCUAUUGAAUUAGAAAUUAUCCUCCUGCGUAGAAAGUGUUUGUGAGCACCUGUUUAUGCACUGCAGUCGUGAGUGAGAUAGAAUCAUGUGAGGAGUGGACAGUCUGCCUUACAGCCCAUGCUCAGUACAUAUCCUAAUGAGGAAUUGGUCCCUGGCUGUCGUUGUCUCCACGCCCUUGAGUUGGACAAUGAUGCUGUUCUGUGAGGACAGUGUCCAAACCAGAAAGUCAAGAUGCCUCUUUGAGGAUCCGUCUGAAAACAAACAAAAUACGUGAAAUCCAGGAGAGCUGGAGUAGAAAACGCCGUGAAGGUAGCGUGGAGAGCAUCAGGGAGCAGCUGCUAUUUCAACACAGUGGGGACUUCGCACCUGGGCCUGAGGGAGCCUCACUGUUUCACUGAAUUUAUGUUCAUAUAUUUAUGAUAAUAAAUAUGUUCAUACACUUACGUUCA
Molecule: long non-coding RNA, 561 nt
Filed under: Homo sapiens (human)
Lineage: Eukaryota; Metazoa; Chordata; Mammalia; Primates; Hominidae
Description: HSALNT0116812
Source: RNAcentral